GUUGCUUCAUAUGGUGAACUCUCUCUAAUGAAGUGAGGGGUGUUCUAGUUUCCGAAGCAUAGAUGAAUUUGUAGUAUUAAACAGUUUGAUGUCGAUUUUUUCUAUGGCAUCGUACUACCUGUCUUCUCCUACAUCU
Molecule: small nucleolar RNA, 136 nt
Organism: Salvia hispanica
Lineage: Eukaryota; Viridiplantae; Streptophyta; Magnoliopsida; Lamiales; Lamiaceae
Product: small nucleolar RNA snoR137
Source: RefSeq, a predicted model, not a curated record